This 1408-nucleotide long non-coding RNA is filed under the name Cyanistes caeruleus (blue tit). RNAcentral's name for it is "lncRNA (ENSCCEG00000011969.1)". The record is from RNAcentral. Lineage: Eukaryota; Metazoa; Chordata; Aves; Passeriformes; Paridae.
GAGAAAGUUUUUUGAAAAUUAAUAAUUUUUGGCUUAGAGUCCAAAUAAAUGAAACUCAUGUUCCUCAGCAUUACCAGAUGUCUUUUUGAAUCACUCCUUGAAGGCAAUGGAGUUUAAUGUGAUUGUUUAGGCCUGUUGAUAAUAAAACACAUGCAUACUUUCUUUUUCAAAUUCACAAACUAAUUAAACUUCAUUGAUGUUAGUCAGUUAAAAUUUAGAUUUGAUAAUUCAUUGUCCAAGCUUCUACUACUUUCAAAACAUUCAUGCAUUGAGAACACUAAAACAAAGCAAAAAUCCCCCAAAUUUCUUGGGAUGAAUGACUAUCACCAUUUUUCAUGUUAUUCAUAAAACAAACCCAGCAGAUACCAAAUAUGCACUACCUAUAUUUCAAAUUUGGUAGAGAUUAAUUGUGACAUAAGGAAAUAACAAACUUAACCUUAAAAGAAUACUUAAGUGACAAAACUCAAGAACACUCAGAUCUAAACCCGGUGAAACUUUCCUUAAUUCUAUUUAUCUAUAAACAAUUUACAGAUUAGCUAACAAUGCAAUUUACAAUGCUUUUAAUUUUUCAUUGCCUAAGUAAAAUCCUCUUUUUUUUUGUUUUUUUUUGACCAUUGGAUUUUCACUUCAAAUAUGAUUUGUAUUAUUAUUUCUAUUGUCAUAAAAAUUGUUUCUGAGGGACUUGUAGAGUUCACAUGGCUGUGGUCAAAAGAUUUUGACUCUCUGUAGUCAGUGAAGUAACCAGUGUAUCUUUGGUGUAGACAUGGCUGCUUCUUCAGGCUAUUGUUCAUAGGGUUCUGCAGCUGUGUUGCUGAGCGGGUUGAAGUUUGCAGGUUUUGAGUAAAGCUGACUCUGUUGUAAACUUGCAGUUGCUGUAAUUCACUGAAACUCCUGCUCAGCUGCUGUUGCUGUUUCCAGCAGUGGUUGCCAUGGCAACAGUGUUGUAGUAGCCGGCAUGGGCAGCGGCCCCAGGUGUGGACCCGUCUGCCCCCUGCGCUGGGUUGGGAAUGGAGGGAAGGGACCACGCCUGCCUCUGCCCUGCAGCAGUCAACCUUCACAGUGAGGACUGGAGUCAGCAGGAACUCCCAGAGGCUGCUGUUGCUGGAUGAACAGCAUAAAUAGGUGUAAGCCUAAGAGAUACUUUGUUAUGUUGUUCUCCAGCUGGGUUGUUUUUUUAUUUUAAUGUGUUGCAGAAAAUGUGCCAGUUACCAUGCAAUGCUGAACGGUCAGACAACAGAGUACAGUAACAAGAGGGAGUGAUAAAUAUGUUCACAAGCUUCUUCAUGAAGUAUCAGACACAUAGAGUUGGUGGGUUAUUCAUUUUCCUUUGCUUGAUGUGGAGCUUAUUUUCUAAAUAGCUGGCCACCUCAUUGUAGUGCAACAGAACAUGCAUAUCUGAAUACUGUAG